GGUAACACGUGGGUGAUCUGCCCUGCGCUUCGGGAUAAGCCUGGGAAACUGGGUCUAAUACCGGAUAGGACGAUGGUUUGGAUGCCAUUGUGGAAAGUUUUCGGUGUGGGAUGAGCUCGCGGCCUAUCAGCUUGUUGGUGGGGUAAUGGCCUACCAAGGCGUCGACGGGUAGCCGGCCUGAGAGGGUGUACGGCCACAUUGGGACUGAGAUACGGCCCAG
This 220-nucleotide ribosomal RNA is filed under the name uncultured Actinomycetales bacterium. Its description in RNAcentral is "partial 16S ribosomal RNA". It matches the Rfam family "Bacterial small subunit ribosomal RNA", at positions 109 to 334 of the family's 1533-position model. The record is from RNAcentral. Lineage: Bacteria; Bacillati; Actinomycetota; Actinomycetes; Actinomycetales.